AUGGGCCGGAGGAGGAGGGCGAGACGGCAAGCCAAGGGGGCAAGAAAAGGCAGCCGCGAGAGGCGUGGCCGGAUGGGGCGGGCGGGCCGGACUAGUCGUCUCGGCGCCGUCAUGGAGCUCUCGCCGUUCACGCAAACGACCGCGCCAGCUGCCUUUCCGUGGCAUGCAAUUCCCCCGUGGCCCACGACGCCGGGAUCGAUCGGCCGAGGUGGACGUCCGCGUCCGCGUCCGUUCUCCGGCGUUGAACGACCGGUACAGUUGCCGUAUCGGGAAAAGGGGGCCUGGGAGGGAGGUUGGCGGGGCGGCAUCCGCGGUGCGCGGUGCGCGCCGCGGCCACGUAGGUGCCGGCGUACGCGGGUGGCUUUGUCGUGCGCGCCUGCAAUGCAAUGCGAUGCGUCUUCUGCCGUGCGUGCGUGCGUGCGGGCGGGCGGUGGUGAGCUGACGGCGAUGGUUCGGCGGUGCGCGUUGCGUGCUCGCCUCUGGUCUUUCUGGUGGGCUGGCUACUGCGUGUCGUACUUGGGUACGACCCUGAGAUCAGCGUGCGUGGGUGAUGGGGUGGUGGAUGCGCGCACGUAG
This 576-nucleotide ribosomal RNA is filed under the name Triticum aestivum (bread wheat). Its description in RNAcentral is "partial small subunit ribosomal RNA". Lineage: Eukaryota; Viridiplantae; Streptophyta; Magnoliopsida; Poales; Poaceae. The record is from RNAcentral.